This is a long non-coding RNA of Anneissia japonica, 374 nucleotides long. RefSeq lists it as uncharacterized. Lineage: Eukaryota; Metazoa; Echinodermata; Crinoidea; Comatulida; Comatulidae. The transcript is spliced from 3 exons. The record is from RefSeq and is a predicted model, not a curated record.
AACAUUUCCUGUUGAUCUUGGAAUUGGGCCACACAAGUUCUCUUUUACCGCUACGGACUCGUCAGGGAAUUAUGAUAAUUGUGCGUUUACUAUCCAAGUUCUCCUAACAUUUGACGGAACAGAAGUCUCCGACGUUGCUUUAUCUUCUGACCCAAAUAGUGUCACAUUAUCGGCUUCAGUUGACCCAGACGCAAAAGAUGGACCUUUCAAAGUCUCUGCAAAUCAAACUGUUCUUGAUGAAUCCAUAUCUCUGCAAACUUCGUAAGUUACGUUCAAGAGUGUACAUUGUUUCGCUGCAUAGAACAGAUGGGGUAUUACAACUUACCGUACCGUAUUAAUAUAUACAUGGUAGAUAAUGUUACCUUAUAAACAGU